RNAcentral lists this ribosomal RNA (448 nucleotides) under uncultured bacterium. RNAcentral describes it as "bacterial SSU rRNA". It matches the Rfam family "Bacterial small subunit ribosomal RNA", at positions 28 to 490 of the family's 1533-position model. The record is from RNAcentral.
GACGAACGCUGGCGGCGUGCCUAACACAUGCAAGUCGAGCGAAUGAAGUUCCUUCGGGAAUGGAUUUAGCGGCGGACGGGUGAGUAACACGUGGGCAACCUGCCUCAUAGAGGGGAAUAGCCUUCCGAAAGGGAGAUUAAUACCGCAUAAGAUUGUAGUACCGCAUGGUACAGCAAUUAAAGGAGCAAUCCGCUAUGAGAUGGGCCCGCGGCGCAUUAGCUAGUUGGUGAGGUAACGGCUCACCAAGGCGACGAUGCGUAGCCGACCUGAGAGGGUGAUCGGCCACAUUGGGACUGAGACACGGCCCAGACUCCUACGGGAGGCAGCAGUGGGAAUAUUGCACAAUGGGGGGAAACCCUGAUGCAGCAACGCCGCGUGAGUGAAGAAGUAAUUCGUUAAUGUAAAGACUCUAUCAGCAGGAAGAUAGUGACGGUACCUGACUAAGAAG